This 583-nucleotide long non-coding RNA is filed under the name Pan troglodytes (chimpanzee). RNAcentral's name for it is "long non-coding RNA NONPTRT017906". Lineage: Eukaryota; Metazoa; Chordata; Mammalia; Primates; Hominidae. The record is from RNAcentral.
GGGUGGUGUCAGCAAUUCAAGACUGUCUUUCCUACCCUCUUCAGUGCCCUUCCUUGAUAAGCUGUUUAAACCAGCCUGGAGACAUUCUCUGCACUUACAAAGGACCAGCUCCUGUGAUCUCUUCUGAGAAGACCACCCCCACCUGCUGUCUCUGAGCACUUUGAACUCACUCCCUGGUCUCCAUGGUGGCGCUCAACACCUUGCAUCACAUGUGGUACUUUGCAUGUCUAUGUCCUCUAGGGAUGUGUGUUAUCAUCUCUGAAAACCCAAUGACAUGCAGCACGGUGCCUAGGUCAGUGAAUAUUUGUUGAUUGACUAGACUCAACACUCGUUGCCAUGGAGAUGAAGCAAUGUACUGCUUUUACUUGUAGGAAUCCAAAGCUGGAUCUAGUUUUUUGUUUUUGUCUUUUUAAAAUGAACUAAACUCCAUACUUUCUAGUUUUGAAUGUUUAACUGACGUAGGAAUUGCUGAAUGGUUUUGAAAUUGAACUAAAGAGCUUUAGUUCAAAGGCAGCCUUGAACCAGUUUCCUUCCAGUCCUGAUGAAGUAAUAUGCUUGUGCCUUAAAUCUGUUUAUUUUCUUC